This 274-nucleotide unclassified non-coding RNA is filed under the name Hevea brasiliensis (rubber tree). The record is from RNAcentral. Lineage: Eukaryota; Viridiplantae; Streptophyta; Magnoliopsida; Malpighiales; Euphorbiaceae.
UGCAAAUUGUCAGUGGCAUCAUUUCUAUUAGAAGUCUCAAAGUCAAACCAUCAAGAAUGAAAAUUCAAAUUUGGCUUGCAUUAAUUGUACAUUUGUGCACGUAUAUAAAGUUUUAUUAACUGGACACAUAAUUCCCGACCCAAAGAUGGGUCCAGUCUCGUAUCCCCUGUAUUGAAACUCAAAGGACUUUUACAGCACUUGAGUUACCAUGGGAAUUAGACAAUUUAAUGGACACGUUCUGCAAUAGAACUUGUGCUGUCCAUAGAUAUUCUUA